Molecule: ribosomal RNA, 252 nt
Filed under: uncultured bacterium
Lineage: Bacteria
Description: partial 16S ribosomal RNA
Rfam family: Bacterial small subunit ribosomal RNA
Source: RNAcentral
UACGGAGGAUCCAAGCGUUAUCCGGAUUUAUUGGGUUUAAAGGGUGCGUAGGCGGCUUAUUAAGUCAGGGGUGAAGACGGUGGCUCAACCAUCGCAGUGCCUUUGAUACUGAUGAGCUUGAAUGGACUAGAGGUAGGCGGAAUGUGACAAGUAGCGGUGAAAUGCAUAGAUAUGUCACAGAACACCGAUUGCGAAGGCAGCUUACUAUGGUUUUAUUGACGCUGAGGCACGAAAGCGUGGGGAUCAAACAGG